Non-coding RNA from Orcinus orca (killer whale), 72 nucleotides. NCBI's taxonomy places the organism in Eukaryota, Metazoa, Chordata, Mammalia, Artiodactyla, Delphinidae. The record is from the annotation of a RefSeq genome assembly.
UCCCUGGUGGUCCAGUGGUAAGACUCUGCACUGCCAAUGCAGGGGAUCCAGGUUAGAUCCCUGGUCUGGGAA